This is a long non-coding RNA of Herpailurus yagouaroundi (jaguarundi), 2354 nucleotides long. RefSeq lists it as uncharacterized. The record is from RefSeq and is a predicted model, not a curated record. The transcript has 3 exons. NCBI's taxonomy places the organism in Eukaryota, Metazoa, Chordata, Mammalia, Carnivora, Felidae.
GGUCAAGGACUUGGCCCCGAAGCCACAGAUGGACUUAGCAGUGGAUCCCAAGAGCCUUCAACAGCUGAGGCAGAAGAGGCCUGAGGGAGGGGGAGUGUAGCUGGUAGGAAUCUCGUGUUCCAUAAUCGGGCUGCCAGGGCUCUGCAAGGCCCCAAAAUUGUAAGUCAAAGCAUGUGAGAGUAGGUGUCCAUCGUGUGUAUAUUUUCUGCCGGGAGCCACAGCUUACAUCCCAUUCUCAAAGAAUAUGCAGACCCAGAAAGAGGAAGAGCCACAGAACCUAAUCUAAUUCCUUCAUUAUAUGGCUGAUAUGGAAAUUGAGGUUUGGCUCCUUGGACCAAAUGGACUGACUCUAUUUAAUAUAUGACUGAUCACUUCAUCAAGAGCUUUUCCCCUAAACCUUGGUUUUGUUUCUGUGAGUUCAUUUCUCUAAUGUUACAACAUAUUCUGAGAGAAAGAAAGACUCUUUGGAAAGUUACAUUGACUUUUAAAGCCACAAGGGGAUCAUUUGGGACAUUCCUACCUCGGCGGUUAUUACCCCGCAGCGCUACCUCUAGCCUUCUCUUUGGUCUCCACGGGGACCCGUUACGUCUCUAACAAGCAAGUAUGAAGACUUAUAGUGCUGGCUUACCAGAAGGGUUUGCUUCGGGAAUUUCACAAGACAGGACUGCUGCUGUCUUGCACGGAAAUUUACAUCCCACGAAGCAGAAGAGAGAAUGACGAUGGCACAUGAUGGUAAUAGGAUUGCAUCAAUAUUACAUGGCUACUAGGCGGAGAACCCAUAGGUUUUAAUAGCACAGCUCUAUUUAUCCUCCUCUGUUUUCAGGACACUGGUUGGGGGUGAAUGGUAUUUCCUUUUUACAGAUACAGAAACAGAGGAUCAAUAAUUUAUUAAAUGAAUUAUUUAAUAUUUCCUAACAGGGUCUGUGGAUGGGGCUUCCGGGGUCUGUGGACCCCUGACAUGAGCUGCAAAGACAAGUGGACUCCCUUCUGGCCUGAGGGACUCUGGACCUCUGUGACUUCCAUGAGGGGAAGUGCAGAGCCUUUAUAUUGUGUGAAAUGGGAUCACCUUCCCAGGCCUCAGCCUGGAUCCGGCGGUCUCCAUCUACUGCCAACUGAAACCCCACCAGCUCCGGCGUGCUAGUCACCGAAAGCAAUCUUUCCCUCUCUCUUCUGUCACACUUGCCUAUGUGCAGUAAAGCUCUCAACUCUGGACUCCAUCCAUCUUUAUUACUGGACUGUGAACUUCUGGAGGGCACUGGUCUAUUCCUUCCCCUCUUUACUCACUUCACCUCAGGCCUGGUUGAAUAUCCUGCACAUAAGAGGUUCUUAGUAACUGCAUUUGGUCAAGAAAUGGGGGGGGGGGGGGGGUGGGAAAGCCUCUGAUCUCACGGAUGCCCUGCUUACACCUUGAUAGAUUUCAUGAUCAAGCAAACUAAAAAUGGAGACGACGGGUGUCCCCACCAGAGAAGGUCUGAACCACCCUCGGCCUAGAGAAUACAAAGGCAGAGUCCGUCACCUAAGCCCGAAGUCCCUUAAAAUCCCUCCAACCUAGGAACAGGAUUAGUCCCGGGGACUGGGCAUAGCAGGAAGUCUUGUCACCCCAGCUAUGAGGAAAGAACUGUCAGGGCCCAGAGCCAGACGGAUCAUUGCAUAAUCCUUCUUGAUUUCAGUUCAGCUUUCCAUAGGGCCAAUGACACGGUGUGGACAUUUGACUCCAAAGGGUAUGUUGUCAACUGUGGACACCUGUCAGCGUCACUGCUCAGAGGGUCGGGACUGUGUCUUAUUCUUCGUUGUAUUUCUGUUUGUUUAGAACUUGCUUUAAAAGCAUUUUAAUUGGAAAUGGGAAACGUGCACAUGAUUUACAUAUUAAAAUGAUUCCCCAGGGUCCAAGCAGACUCCUUAGCUCAUCAUCGCCCAGCCCAGAGGCAGCCAUCAUUCAGAGUUUCUUUUCCCCGAGAUGCCAUGUAUUAUACAAUAUUUUUGUAUUUUCUAUGAGGAACUAAUAAGGUUGUUGUGAACACCCUCCAUGCCUUUUGCAGGCGAUGGUGAUGGUGUUAGGGUUGUUGGUGAUCUGGAAAAGAGGUUUUAGGGUUCACUGACCUUGAGAACUGGAGAACUUGUCUUGUACAUUAUGAUGAUGCAUAGCAAUAAUGGUGUAAUAAUAAAAUCUGGAUACCUCAAAUGCUAUCUUGAAAAAGGCAGGUCUGGUCCAAGGGUAGUGGAGAAAGGAUCCAAGGAGAUGUGGUUGGACACAGAUUGGAUAUGGGUAGGAAAUGUUAGGCCAUUUUAGCAAGUACCACUGUGCUCUAGGGGGAUCAUAAGUAGACCCGAUGGAGAUCAGCAAAGUAUUUAUU